AGUGAACGCUGGCGGUAGGCCUAACACAUGCAAGUCGAACGGCAGCACAGUAAGAGCUUGCUCUUACGGGUGGCGAGUGGCGGACGGGUGAGGAAUACAUCGGAAUCUACUUUUUCGUGGGGGAUAACGUAGGGAAACUUACGCUAAUACCGCAUACGACCUACGGGUGAAAGCAGGGGAUCUUCGGACCUUGCGCGAUUGAAUGAGCCGAUGUCGGAUUAGCUAGUUGGCGGGGUAAAGGCCCACCAAGGCGACGAUCCGUAGCUGGUCUGAGAGGAUGAUCGGCCACACUGGAGCUGAGACACGGUCCAGACUCCUACGGGAGGCAGCAGUGGGGAAUAGUGGACAAUGGGCGCAAGCCUGAUACAGCCAUACCGCGUGGGUGAAGAAGGCCUUCGGGUUGUAAAGCCCUUUUGUUGGGAAAGAAAAGCAGCAGGUUAAUACCCCGCUGUUCUGACGGUACCCAAAGAAUAAGCACCGGCUAACUUCGUG
This 492-nucleotide ribosomal RNA is filed under the name uncultured bacterium. Its description in RNAcentral is "partial 16S ribosomal RNA". It matches the Rfam family "Bacterial small subunit ribosomal RNA", at positions 29 to 507 of the family's 1533-position model. The record is from RNAcentral.